GAUGAACGCUGGCGGCGUGCCUAAUACAUGCAAGUCGAGCGAACAGACGAGGAGCUUGCUCCUCUGACGUUAGCGGCGGACGGGUGAGUAACACAUGGAUAACCUACCUAUAAGACUGGGAUAACUUCGGGAAACCGGAGCUAAUACCGGAUAAUAUAUUGAACCGCAUGGUUCAAUAGUGAAAGACGGUUUUGCUGUCACUUAUAGAUGGAUCCGCGCCGCAUUAGCUAGUUGGUAAGGUAACGGCUUACCAAGGCAACGAUGCGUAGCCGACCUGAGAGGGUGAUCGGCCACACUGGAACUGAGACACGGUCCAGACUCCUACGGGAGGCAGCAGUAGGGAAUCUUCCGCAAUGGGCGAAAGCUUGACUGAGCAACGCCGCGUGAGUGAUGAAGGUCUUCGGAUCGUAAAACUCUGUUAUUAGGGAAGAACAAAUGUGUAAGUAACUAUGCACGUCUUGACGGUACCUAAUCAGAAAGCCACGGCUAACUACGUG
Molecule: ribosomal RNA, 497 nt
Filed under: uncultured bacterium
Lineage: Bacteria
Description: partial 16S ribosomal RNA
Rfam family: Bacterial small subunit ribosomal RNA
Source: RNAcentral